This is an RNA transcript of Eubalaena glacialis (North Atlantic right whale), 1423 nucleotides long. It is a transcript of the gene named MNAT1 component of CDK activating kinase, with no coding region annotated. The transcript has 9 exons. The record is from RefSeq and is a predicted model, not a curated record. NCBI's taxonomy places the organism in Eukaryota, Metazoa, Chordata, Mammalia, Artiodactyla, Balaenidae.
UCCCAGCCAAGUGCCUGUUGGUAGGAAUCCGCUUGGCCUCGGGUCUGAGGGGGCUUGUAGGUGGCUGUGGCUGCGACUGAAGCAGGGGUCCAGGAGAGUCCACAAGAAAGAAAGCGCCAUGGACGAUCAGGGCUGUCCCCGGUGUAAGACCACCAAAUACCGGAACCCUUCGUUGAAGCUGAUGGUGAAUGUGUGCGGACACACUCUGUGUGAAAGUUGCGUGGAUUUACUCUUUGUGAGAGGAGCUGGAAACUGUCCUGAGUGUGGCACUCCACUUAGAAAGAGCAACUUCAGGGUACAACUCUUUGAAGAUCCUACUGUUGACAAGGAAGUUGAGAUUCGGAAAAAAGUGCUAAAGAUAUACAAUAAAAGGGAAGAAGACUUUCCUAGUCUACGAGAAUAUAAUGAUUUCCUGGAAGAAGUGGAAGAAAUUGUUUUCAACUUGACCAACAAUGUGGAUUUGGACAACACCAAAAAGAAAAUGGAGAUAUACCAAAAGGAAAACAAAGAUGUCAUUCAGAAAAAUAAGUUAAAGCUGACUCGGGAACAGGAGGAACUGGAAGAAGCUUUAGAGGUAGAACGACAGGAAAAUGAACAAAGAAGACUAUUUAUACAAAAAGAAGAACAACUGCAGCAGAUUCUAAAAAGGAAGAAUAAGCAGGCUUUUUUAGAUGAACUGGAGAGUUCUGAUCUCCCCGUUGCUCUACUUUUGGCUCAGCAUAAAGAUAGAUCUACCCAACUGGAAAUGCAGCUUGAGAAACCUAAACCUAUAAAACCAGUGACAUUUUCCACAGGCAUCAAAAUGGGUCAACAUAUUUCAUUACCACCCAUUCAAAAGCUUGAAGAAGCUCUAUAUGAAUACCAACCACUGCAAAUAGAGACUUGUGGACCACAAGUCCCUGAGCUUGAGAUGCUAGGAAGACUUGGCUACUGAGCCCGCGAGCCACAACUACUGAAGCCCAUGCGCCUAGAGCCCGUGAUCCGCAACAAGAGAAGCCACUGCAAUGAGAAGCCUGUGCACCGCAAUGAAGAGUAGCCCCCGCUCGCCGCAACUAGAGAAGGCCCACUCACAGCAACGAAGACCCAACACAGCCAAAAAUAAAUAAAUAAGUAAAUAAGUCUUAGUUGCAACAGGUGGGCUCCCCAGCUGUGGCAUGUGAACUCCUAGUUGCAACAUGCAUGUGGGAUCCAGUUCCCUGACCAGGGAUCGAACCGGGGCCCCCUGCAUUGGGAAUGCAGAGUCUUAACCACUGUGCCAUAAGGGAAGUCCCGUAAGGGAUUGAAUUCUACACAGACAGUUUCAUUUUGGGAGCCAGGAUGAAUUAGCUCAGGUGGUCUCUUUGGUGACAUGUUAUGACUUCAUACUUAAACAUUUGCCAAAAUAAAUCCUAAAUUGAUUUCUUACUUUACUAGUUCAUUUUCU